RNAcentral lists this ribosomal RNA (460 nucleotides) under uncultured bacterium. RNAcentral's name for it is "partial 16S ribosomal RNA". It matches the Rfam family "Bacterial small subunit ribosomal RNA", at positions 338 to 795 of the family's 1533-position model. The record is from RNAcentral.
CCUACGGGUGGCAGCAGUGAGGAAUAUUGGUCAAUGGGCGUAAGCCUGAACCAGCCAAGUCGCGUGAGGGAUGAAGGUUCUAUGGAUCGUAAACCUCUUUUAUAAGGGAAUAAAGUGUGGGACGUGUCCUGUUUUGUAUGUACCUUAUGAAUAAGGAUCGGCUAACUCCGUGCCAGCAGCCGCGGUAAUACGGAGGAUCCGAGCGUUAUCCGGAUUUAUUGGGUUUAAAGGGUGCGUAGGCGGCCUUUUAAGUCAGCGGUGAAAGUCUGUGGCUCAACCAUAGAAUUGCCGUUGAAACUGGGAGGCUUGGGUAUGUUUGAGGCAGGCGGAAUGCGGGGUGUAGCGGUGAAAUGCUUAGAUAUCACGCAGAACCCCGAUUGCGAAGGCAGCCUGCCAAGCCAUGACUGACGCUGAUGCACGAAAGCAUGGGGAUCAAACAGGAAUAGAUACCCUAGUAGUC